This 468-nucleotide ribosomal RNA is filed under the name uncultured bacterium. RNAcentral describes it as "partial 16S ribosomal RNA". It matches the Rfam family "Bacterial small subunit ribosomal RNA", at positions 28 to 507 of the family's 1533-position model. The record is from RNAcentral.
GACGAACGCUGGCGGCGUGCUUAACACAUGCAAGUCGAACGGAAAGGCCCUGCUUUUGUGGGGUGCUCGAGUGGCGAACGGGUGAGUAACACGUGAGUAACCUGCCCUUGACUUUGGGAUAACUUCAGGAAACUGGGGCUAAUACCGGAUAGGAGCUCCUGCUGCAUGGUGGGGGUUGGAAAGUUUCGGCGGUUGGGGAUGGACUCGCGGCUUAUCAGCUUGUUGGUGGGGUAGUGGCUUACCAAGGCUUUGACGGCUAGCCGGCCUGAGAGGGUGACCGGCCACAUUGGGACUGAGAUACGGCGCAGACUCCUACGGGAGGCAGCAGGGGGGAAUAUGGCACAAUGGGCGGAAGCCUGAUGCAGCAACGCCGCGUGCGGGAUGACGGCCUUCGGGUUGUAAACCGCUUUCGCCUGUGACGAAGCGUGAGUGACGGUAAUGGGUAAAGAAGCACCGGCUAACUACGUG